RNAcentral lists this long non-coding RNA (408 nucleotides) under Equus caballus (horse). RNAcentral describes it as "lncRNA (ENSECAG00000051699.1)". The record is from RNAcentral. Lineage: Eukaryota; Metazoa; Chordata; Mammalia; Perissodactyla; Equidae.
CUUUAACGUAUUCGCUUUUACAUUUAUCUUUAGUACAUUUCAGAAUAAUUUGUUUUUUGUUCUCUUAAAAUGUAACUGAUGCCUUUUCUUUCAUCGUAAAGUUUGUGGUUGUCUAGGGAAUUAUGAUGUUCCUGUGACCAACAGCUCUUUCCUCUACAUGGUACUGUAAUGGCGGUGUUUGUAUGUUGACAUCCUUGACUACAUUGUGAUCUCCUUGAAGGGGACCAUUAUCAUUGGAUUUAGGGCCCACCCAGAUAAUCUGUGAUGACCUCUUCAUCUCAAGAUCCUUAACUUAAUUCUAUCUCCAAAGGCCUUCUAUACUUAUGGCUUACACGGUAAGUACGUAUGAAAAUGUUUGAUGUUCCAUGGAUGUGGAAGAGAAAUGAAAUGGUCUCACUUUAGGAAAAU